GGUAGUAGCAAAUAUUCAAAUGAGAGCUUUGAAGACCGAAGUGGAGAAAGGUUCUAUGUGAACAGCAGUUGGACAUGGGUUAGUCGAUCCUAAGAGAUAGGGAAAUUCCGUUCGAAAGCGCCCGAUCUUGGGCCGCCUAUCGAAAGGGAAUCGGGGUAAUAUUCCCGAACCGGGACGCGGAUAUUGCCGUUCGCGGCAGAUGCGGUAACGCAAACGAACCCGAAGACGCUGGCGGGGGCCCUGGGAAGAGUUCUCUUUUCUUUUUAACGAGCUUUCACCCUGAAAUCAGCUUGCCUGGAGAUAGGGUUUAAUGCUCGGUAAAGCACCACACUUCUUGUGGUGUCCGGUGCGCUCUCGACGGCCCUUGAAAAUUCGGGGAAGACAUUGAUUUUCGUGUCCGGUCGUACUCAUAACCGCAGCAGGUCUCCAAGGUGAGCAGCCUCUGGUU
Molecule: ribosomal RNA, 448 nt
Filed under: Nematostella vectensis (starlet sea anemone)
Lineage: Eukaryota; Metazoa; Cnidaria; Anthozoa; Actiniaria; Edwardsiidae
Description: Eukaryotic large subunit ribosomal RNA
Rfam family: Eukaryotic large subunit ribosomal RNA
Source: Rfam by way of RNAcentral